GAUGAACGCUGGCGGCGUGCCUAAUACAUGCAAGUCGAGCGAAUGGAUUAAGAGCUUGCUCUUAUGAAGUUAGCGGCGGACGGGUGAGUAACACGUGGGUAACCUGCCCAUAAGACUGGGAUAACUCCGGGAAACCGGGGCUAAUACCGGAUAACAUUUUGAACCGCAUGGUUCGAAAUUGAAAGGCGGCUUCGGCUGUCACUUAUGGAUGGACCCGCGUCGCAUUAGCUAGUUGGUGAGGUAACGGCUCACCAAGGCAACGAUGCGUAGCCGACCUGAGAGGGUGAUCGGCCACACUGGGACUGAGACACGGCCCAGACUCCUACGGGAGGCAGCAGUAGGGAAUCUUCCGCAAUGGAUGAAAGUCUGACGGAGCAACGCCGCGUGAGUGAUGAAGGCUUUCGGGUCGUAAAACUCUGUUGUUAGGGAAGAACAAGUGGUAGUUGAAUAAGCUGGCACCUUGACGGUACCUAACCAGAAAGCCACGGCUAACUACGUGCCAGCCGCCGCAGUAA
Molecule: ribosomal RNA, 515 nt
Filed under: uncultured bacterium
Lineage: Bacteria
Description: partial 16S ribosomal RNA
Rfam family: Bacterial small subunit ribosomal RNA
Source: RNAcentral